Molecule: transfer RNA, 108 nt
Filed under: Candidatus Bathyarchaeota archaeon
Lineage: Archaea; Thermoproteati; Candidatus Bathyarchaeota
Description: tRNA-Leu
Rfam family: tRNA
About the family: Transfer RNA (tRNA) molecules are approximately 80 nucleotides in length. Their secondary structure includes four short double-helical elements and three loops (D, anti-codon, and T loops).
Source: RNAcentral
GCGGGGGUGGCAGAGCUAGGUCAAACAGCAAACGGACCUGAUGCGCGGGACUCAAGAUGGGGUAUCCCGUCCCGAAGGGGUUCGUGGGUUCAAAUCCCACCCCCCGCA